AACGAACGCUGGCGGCAGGCCUAACACAUGCAAGUCGAACGCCGUAGCGAUACGGAGUGGCAGACGGGUGAGUAACGCGUGGGAACAUACCCCUCGGUUCGGAAUAACUCAGGGAAACUUGAGCUAAUACCGGAUAAGUCCGAGGUUUUAAUCGACCUUGGAGAAAGAUUUAUCGCGGGAGGAUUGGCCCGCGUCUGAUUAGCUUGUUGGUGAGGUAAUGGCUCACCAAGGCGACGAUCAGAGCUGGUCUGAGAGGAUGAUCAGCCACAUUGGGACUGAGACACGGCCCAAACUCCUACGGGAGGCAGCAGUGGGGAAUAUUGGACAAUGGGCGAAAGCCUGACGACAGCGACGCCGCGUGAGGGAUGACGGCCU
Molecule: ribosomal RNA, 375 nt
Filed under: uncultured bacterium
Lineage: Bacteria
Description: bacterial SSU rRNA
Rfam family: Bacterial small subunit ribosomal RNA
Source: RNAcentral